RNAcentral lists this ribosomal RNA (408 nucleotides) under uncultured bacterium. RNAcentral's name for it is "partial 16S ribosomal RNA". It matches the Rfam family "Bacterial small subunit ribosomal RNA", at positions 28 to 526 of the family's 1533-position model. The record is from RNAcentral.
GACGAACGCUGACGGCGUGCUUAACACAUGCAAGACGAAGGGAGUGGCGAAAGGGUGAGUAACACGUGAGUAACCUGCCAUUUUCUUGGGGAUAAGCCUGGGAAACUGGGUCUAAUACUGGAUGGAUUGGGAUGGGCUCGCGGCUUAUCAGCUUGUUGGUGGGGUGAUGGCAUACCAAGGCUUUGAAGGGUAGCCGGCCUGAGAGGGUGGUCGGUCACACUGGUACUUAGAUACGGCCCAGACUCCUACGGGAGGCAGCAGUGGGGGAUAUUGCACAAUGGACGAAAGUCUGAUGCAGCGACGUCGUGUGGGUGAUGAAGGCCUUCGGGUUGUAAAGUACUUUCAGCCGGGAGGCGUUACCCGCAGAAGAAGCACCGGCUAACUCCGUGCCAGCAGCCGCGGUAAUAC